GAUAAACGCUGGCGGCGUGCCUGACACAUGCAAGUCGAACGCUCUCCGUCCUCGGACGGAGGGAGUGGCGGACGGGUGAGUAACACGUGGGUAAUCUGCCCUGAGGUGAGGAAUACCGACGAGAAAUCGUCGACAAUACCGCAUAGGCUCGGCAACGAGCAAAGCUUCGCAUCAGCGAGGUACCACAGGAUGAGCCCGCGGCCGAUUAGCUCGUUGGUGGGGUAAUGGCCUACCAAGGCGACGAUCGGUAGCUGGUCUGAGAGGACGAGCAGCCACACUGGGAUUGAGAACGGCCCAGACUCCUACGGGAGGCAGCAGUGAGGAAUUUUCCGCAAUGGACGCAAGUCUGACGGAGCAACGCCGCGUGCAGGACGAAGGUCUUCGGAUCGUAAACUGCUUUUAUCAGGGAAGAGAAUGGACGGUACCUGAUGAAUAAGCCCCGGCUAACUACGUGCCAGCAGCCGCGGUAAUACGUAGGGGGCGAGCGUUAUCCGGAUUUAUUGGGCGUAAAGCGCACGCAGGCGGUCUGUCAAGUUCGAGGUGACAGUCACCAGCUUAACUGGUGGAGUACCUUGAAAACUGGCAGACUUGAGGGCCAGAGAGGGACACGGAAUUCCGGGUGGAGUGGUGAAAUGCGUAGAUAUCCGGAGGAACACCAAAGGCGAAGGCAGUGUCCUGGCUGGUACCUGACGCUCAAGUGCGAAAGCUAGGGGAGCGAACGGGAUUAGAUACCCCGGUAGUCCUAGCCGUAAACAAUGACCACUAGGUGUGCGGGGUUCGACCCCCUGCGUACCGUAGUCAACACAAUAAGUGGUCCGCCUGGGGAGUACGGUCGCAAGACUAAAACUCAAAGGAAUUGACGGGGACCCGCACAAGCAGCGGAGCGUGUGGUUUAAUUCGAUGCAACACGAAGAACCUUACCAGAGCUUGACAUGGGCAUGAUCACAGCAGAAAUGUUGUUCCCUUCGGGGCAUGUCCACAGGUGCUGCAUGGCUGUCGUCAGCUCGUGCCGUGAGGUGUUGGGUUAAGUCCCGCAACGAGCGCAACCCUUAUCGUCAGUUAGAAAUGUCUGACGAGACUGCCACGAUAAAGGUGGAGGAAGGUGGGGAUGACGUCAAGUCAGCACGGCCCUUACGUUCUGGGCAACACACACGCUACAAUGGUCGGUACAGAGGGAAGCGAAAGGGCGACCUGGAGCCAAUCUCAAAAAGCCGAUCUCAGUUCGGAUUGGAGUCUGCAACUCGACUCCAUGAAGUUGGAAUCGCUAGUAAUCGCGGAUCAGCACGCCGCGGUGAAUACGUUCCCGGGCCUUGUACACACCGCCCGUCACACCAUGGGAGCUGACUCAACCAGAAGACGGUCAGGCUAACCGCAAGGAGGCCUCCGGCGAAGGUGGGGUUGGUGACUGGGGUG
This 1413-nucleotide ribosomal RNA is filed under the name uncultured Caldilinea sp. RNAcentral's name for it is "bacterial SSU rRNA". It matches the Rfam family "Bacterial small subunit ribosomal RNA". Lineage: Bacteria; Bacillati; Chloroflexota; Caldilineae; Caldilineales; Caldilineaceae. The record is from RNAcentral.